CAGAGGUGGCAAGCGUUGUUCGGAAUUACUGGGCGUAAAGGGCGCGUAGGCGGUCUUGCAAGUCCUGUGUGAAAUCCCUCGGCUCAACUGAGGAACUGCACAGGAAACUGCUUGGCUUGAGUUCGGGAGAGGGAAGCGGAAUUCCGGGUGUAGCGGUGAAAUGCGUAGAUAUCCGGAGGAACACCGGUGGCGAAGGCGGCUUCCUGGACCGACACUGGACGCUGAGGCGCGAAAGCUAGGGGAGCAAACGGGAUUAGAUACCCCGGUAGUCCUAGCUGUAAACGAUGAGUGCUGGGUGUGGCGGGUAUUAACCCCUGCUGUGCCGAAGCUAACGCAUUAAGCACUCCGCCUGGGGAGUACGGUCGCAAGGCUG
RNAcentral lists this ribosomal RNA (373 nucleotides) under uncultured organism. RNAcentral's name for it is "bacterial SSU rRNA". It matches the Rfam family "Bacterial small subunit ribosomal RNA", at positions 526 to 896 of the family's 1533-position model. The record is from RNAcentral.